GUGGAUUCUGUAAACACUAAGCUUUUAGUACUGUUUUGUUAAUUUUUUCCUCCAUAGCUGGCUAUGUUAAAGCUGUCAUGAUUGGAGUGUCUAUUGGUGUUGGAUCUCUUGCUUUUGGUUGUUGCAUUGUAAUUGCUUUGCACUUCUUAAAGGCCCAUGCAAGGAAGAGAGCAGUCUACCGUCAUGUUCGUCUUACUAAUCCUGUCACUGAUGAUCCAGUUUAGUGAAGGCAGUUUAAACUCUUUUCCUUUUGAUAAUCAUAUUACACAUCAUUAUUAUUUUAAUACUUUUUUAUAUUUUUGAUCUGUAAUCCUUUUUGCCUGUAAA
Long non-coding RNA from Amphimedon queenslandica, 327 nucleotides. RefSeq lists it as uncharacterized. The transcript has 2 exons. Lineage: Eukaryota; Metazoa; Porifera; Demospongiae; Haplosclerida; Niphatidae. The record is from RefSeq and is a predicted model, not a curated record.